This is a non-coding RNA of Rhamnusium bicolor, 81 nucleotides long. Lineage: Eukaryota; Metazoa; Arthropoda; Insecta; Coleoptera; Cerambycidae. The record is from the annotation of a GenBank genome assembly.
AGCACGGUAGCCGAGUGGGCAAUACGCUCUAUUUACUGGUUACCGAAGGUCGAUGGUUCGAUUCCAUCCCGGAGCAAGUUA